UGACAGAGGAAGCAAAAUGAAAGAUUGAUUUGCAUGGCUACUAAAGAGUCAUUAGUUUUGUUUAACAUUCAGAUUCCACAAUAAUUGGGGUUAAACUAUGCGAGAAAAAGGCAUAUUCUCCUAAAAAGGCAUAUUCCUCGAAUUUCAGAUGUGGCGGCGCUAGCCACGGGUUUAUUACAGCUCGCAAAAAAAGAGUCAUAUCCAAGUAAGCCCUCACGACACGUCUCCAUUGCGUGCCAAUAUAGAUAGACUUGGAACGUAAAAUUUUAUGUGUAGGGUCUUGAGAGAAACAAAGACUAAGUUGGACUCAUGUGAAACUAUUUUGUAAUGUACAGGAACCAGAUUACA
Molecule: long non-coding RNA, 348 nt
Filed under: Brassica napus (rape)
Lineage: Eukaryota; Viridiplantae; Streptophyta; Magnoliopsida; Brassicales; Brassicaceae
Description: long non-coding RNA (BNAP_LNC009247)
Source: RNAcentral